UGUAGAUCACGUGCAAGCAUUGAUCUGAAAAACCAAAUCAGAUUGGAAAAGCAAGAUGAAGAUUAGAUGUAAAAAAUGAAAAUUAUCUACUUAAGCAUCAGGGUCAUGAAAUUUACUACAGCUAUGAAAAACCCAAAACGUAAUCAUGGUCAUAACAAAAUGCUAUCCUGGAAGCAGAAGCAAUUACUCAUUUUAUGUGUAUAAGUGAAUAAAAGUGGGUAUAAUGUCAUCUAAAUGUCAGCUAAUAAGCAAGUAAAUAAAGAAGUGACAACGGUUAAAAAAUACAUACAUUCCCUUGACGUUAGGAGAAUUA
Molecule: unclassified non-coding RNA, 313 nt
Filed under: Hevea brasiliensis (rubber tree)
Lineage: Eukaryota; Viridiplantae; Streptophyta; Magnoliopsida; Malpighiales; Euphorbiaceae
Source: RNAcentral